This 401-nucleotide unclassified non-coding RNA is filed under the name Kochiomyces sp. RNAcentral's name for it is "partial internal transcribed spacer region". The stretch from base 1 to 46 matches the Rfam family "Eukaryotic small subunit ribosomal RNA", at positions 1786 to 1831 of the family's 1831-position model. Lineage: Eukaryota; Fungi; Chytridiomycota; Chytridiomycetes; Spizellomycetales; Spizellomycetaceae. The record is from RNAcentral.
AAGUCGUAACAAGGUAACCGUAGGUGAACCUGCGGUUGGAUCAUUAGAAAAUUUAGACGUUUGGCUAGUUCUUUGGCUGAAUAAGCCAUCCUAGCCAACUUCCGUGGACCUUUGGCCAUUCGAGCAUUGUUUGUUAGCCCGGGUUUCCCUCAUUUCGAUGGGGCGAUCAACCUGGGGGUGAUCAUAUCGCUUUGCUUAGGACGCCAUUGCCACGGUCGCGUCAAAAACUCCUAUGUGCAACGUUUUGGGGUUUGGUUGGAAAGCAUGAGGUAUGUUUUACCUCAUGCCGGAAAAUCAUCUCCCAUUCCACUAGUUUAUAAUUUGUCUAACUUUAUUUAAUAUAUAAUAUUAAAACAACUUUUGGCAACGGAUCUCUUGGCUCUCGCAUCGAUGAAGAACGC